This is a long non-coding RNA of Aphis gossypii (cotton aphid), 555 nucleotides long. RefSeq lists it as uncharacterized. The record is from RefSeq and is a predicted model, not a curated record. The transcript is spliced from 5 exons. Lineage: Eukaryota; Metazoa; Arthropoda; Insecta; Hemiptera; Aphididae.
UUUUAUUAUAAUUAUAAUAUAAUAUUAGACCACCCGUCCGCUCAAGUGGACGCAUAUUGUGGACGUAAUAAACGAAUAAUAUGCCUUUGAAUGAUCAAGAGUACCUAAUCAAAUAUGAAAACUGGCACAACGGGACGAUGACGAUGACGACGAUACAUGCAUCACACUUUACCGGUCCUGAUCCAGGCGCAGUCAGUUUCGAAUAUAAUAUUUAAAUGAAGCCCACGGUGUUUCAAGACAUGCAGUAGUCUUAAAAUAGCGAAGCGAGUAUUUUAGUAAACAAAUCCAGUUCCGAAAUUAUAAUAUCUCUACUUUAUAUAACCUCUCACUCUCACUUAAUGGCGACGUUUGACACGAUAAUAAAUGAGCAAAUACAUGGAAUGUACCUCCGAAUCCUAUGAAAUAUCAAUAUAGCGUUAUAUUAAUAAUGACGGUUAUUCCAUUCUCAUUUCUUUCUCUUUAAGUGUCAAUGGACAUUUAUUAAAAGAUUAUUUACUCGAUACAGUCGUCCUAAAAAAAAAUCAUCAACAAAAAAUCCAAACAAAAUAUAUACGU